UUAAAAAACUCAUUAAUAAUUCAUGAAGAAAACACAAAGAAAAAUCAUAAGCGUGUCGUAUCUGUAUAUGUGAUACAGAUUCAUGUUGAUUUACAUAAACUUCAACUUUGAUUUUCUCGGCUUAGACAACGUUUAUUUUUAAAAUUACUUCGCCAAUGAACUCAUAAGAUGAGUCGUUUUUUAAGUCAUUUACAACAUUCGCGUCCGUGUUGUAUCGGAUAUACAAACUCUCGCCUUCGGCUCGAGUUUGUAUAUCCGAUACAACACGGCCGCUCAUG
This is a non-coding RNA of Paramuricea clavata, 278 nucleotides long. The record is from the annotation of a GenBank genome assembly. NCBI's taxonomy places the organism in Eukaryota, Metazoa, Cnidaria, Anthozoa, Malacalcyonacea, Plexauridae.